This 506-nucleotide ribosomal RNA is filed under the name uncultured bacterium. RNAcentral describes it as "partial 16S ribosomal RNA". It matches the Rfam family "Bacterial small subunit ribosomal RNA", at positions 29 to 523 of the family's 1533-position model. The record is from RNAcentral.
AGUGAACGCUGGCGGUAGGCCUAACACAUGCAAGUCGAACGGCAGCACAGGAGAGCUUGCUCUCUGGGUGGCGAGUGGCGGACGGGUGAGGAAUACAUCGGAAUCUACUUUUUCGUGGGGGAUAACGUAGGGAAACUUACGCUAAUACCGCAUACGACCUACGGGUGAAAGCAGGGGACCUUCGGGCCUUGCGCGAUUGAAUGAGCCGAUGUCGGAGUAGCUAGUUGGCGGGGUAAAGGCCCACCAAGGCGACGAUCCGUAGCUGGUCUGAGAGGAUGAUCAGCCACACUGGAACUGAGACACGGUCCAGACUCCUACGGGAGGCAGCAGUGGGGAAUAUUGGACAAUGGGCGCAAGCCUGAUCCAGCCAUACCGCGUGGGUGAAGAAGGCCUUCGGGUUGUAGAGCCCUUUUGUUGGGAAAGAAAUCCAGCUGGCUAAUACCCGGUUGGGAUGACGGUACCCAAAGAAUAAGCACCGGCUAACUUCGUGCCAGCCGCCGCCGUAA